Molecule: non-coding RNA, 110 nt
Organism: Acanthosepion pharaonis
Lineage: Eukaryota; Metazoa; Mollusca; Cephalopoda; Sepiida; Sepiidae
Source: the annotation of a GenBank genome assembly
CUUGCGACCAUAUCACGUUCAAACACCGGUACCCGUACGAUCACCGAAGUUAAGCAGCAUCGAGCCUAGUCAGUAGCUAAAUGGGUGACCACUUGAGAAUACCAGAUGUG